Long non-coding RNA from Melitaea cinxia (Glanville fritillary), 1462 nucleotides. RefSeq lists it as uncharacterized. The transcript has 2 exons. NCBI's taxonomy places the organism in Eukaryota, Metazoa, Arthropoda, Insecta, Lepidoptera, Nymphalidae. The record is from RefSeq and is a predicted model, not a curated record.
AAAAGUGUCCCCAUUUUAUUUCACGUGUAUUAUUAGUCAGUUUGAUACAUGGAAGUUUUUUUUAUGAGGAGUAGAAACACUUCACUUAUUUUUUUUUUGUGCUGGCAACAUUUCAUUCGUAAAAUAGUAAUGUCAGUGAUCUGUCAGCCAACUUAGUUUGCAUAAAAGAAACGGUGCUCGGUGUGGGCUAAGAGUUCGUCAUUGGAUUUUCGUGACUUUCUGGAAGUAAUUUCUCAUGAUGCCACUAACACCUGCUGAAAGGCAAAAACUCUAUCGGGAAAGGUUGAAAGAGAAAGACCCUGAGAAAUUUUUGUCUCAAAAAAGAAAAAAUGCUGACAGAACACGCGAAAAAAGAAAGAAAAUAGCAGAAUACGCUCCAUCCGAGCAGGAAAAUAUUAGAAAACAGUGGAGAUAGAAAGAAAAAAAGUAAAGAAGAACCAUCGUCAUCCUUACCUGAAGUUAUGCCAUCUGAAAAAGACACUUAAAGACAGAAGAAAAAUCAAAAUAGAAGAGUGCUUUAUAAACUAAAAGAAGAAAACAUUGCAUUGAAAAUACAGCAAGGACAUUUGCAAAAAGCUUUGAAAAUUAUAAGAAAAGAAUAAACCGAUGUUUGAAGAAAAAUAAUAAGCUAUUAGAUCUGAUCAAAGAGAAAAACAAUUUGAUUCGUGAUUUAGAAGAAAAGCUUAUUUCUAGAGACAUAAUAGAAAGAAAUGUUGACGAAAUGACUCCUUCUUCGAAGACAGAUGCUUAUAUUCAACAAAAUUUACCGGAUGUCCACCCUGAGGAAAAAGAAAGAGUGAAAAAAACAUUAUUUGAACAUCACGUUAUAAUAGAAACUAUGAAACAAAGUUAGCAAACUAAAGACAUGAAAGAAAAGCAAGUAUUAAAAGAUAUAGUGAAAAAAAGUAAAAUACUAGACAAAUACAAAAUGAAAACAAAAAUGGCUACCUAUUUGGGCUUGAAAGGAAAAAUUCGACAUACAUUAAAGAAAAAAAGUGGUAAUAUAAUACAGACUCAGUUGAAAGACUUUUUUGAGAGAGACGACGUAAGCAAAAGACGGCAGGUAAAAAUGAAAUAAAAACGCAAAACAAUCAAAAAAAGCAGAGAAGGUAUACUAUUACUAGGUAAUACUGCCAGGAAGGAGGAAAGCUGUCAUUCGCUACUUUUAAAAGAUACAUACUUUUAUGUAUUGCCACCAAAAGCUGAGAAACGUGAAACCUGUGCAUGCAAGAAAUAUGAAAAUUUGCAAAUGAAAGCCACGCUUCUAAAGUCAAUUGGUUUAGUAGCAACAAAAGAUCUCGACGAUUUGUUAGCUAUGAUUGUUUGCGAUAUAAAAUCUAAUGUUUGUGCUUAUGGAGAGUGUGAGUUGUGCAAAAAUAAAUGUAUUGAUUUCAUGACUUGUGGAAAAAAACUUAAACGAUGAAAUUUCUUGGGAUGAAUGGAAUUUAAAAUCUCAUCAAUA